Molecule: ribosomal RNA, 704 nt
Filed under: uncultured bacterium
Lineage: Bacteria
Description: bacterial SSU rRNA
Rfam family: Bacterial small subunit ribosomal RNA
Source: RNAcentral
UUAGUGGCGGACGGGUGAGUAACGCGUGGGCAACCUGCCGUAUACAGGGGGAUAACAACUGGAAACAGUUGCUAACACCGCAUAAGCGCACGGUACCGCAUGGUACCGAGUGAAAAUCUCCGGAGGUAUACGAUGGGCCCGCGUCUGAUUAGCCAGUUGGUGGGGUAACGGCCUACCAAAGCGACGAUCAGUAGCCGGCCUGAGAGGGUGGACGGCCACAUUGGGACUGAGACACGGCCCAAACUCCUACGGGAGGCAGCAGUGGGGGAUAUUGCACAAUGGGGGAAACCCUGAUGCAGCGACGCCGCGUGAGUGAAGAAGCAAUUCGUUGCGUAAAGCUCUAUCAGCAGGGAAGAAGAAAUGACGGUACCUGAAUAAGAAGCCCCGGCUAACUACGUGCCAGCAGCCGCGGUAAUACGUAGGGGGCAAGCGUUAUCCGGAUUUACUGGGUGUAAAGGGAGCGUAGACGGCAGUGCAAGUCCGAUGUGAAAACCCGGGGCUCAACCCUGGGAGUGCAUUGGAAACUGUACGGCUGGAGUGCAGGAGAGGUAAGCGGAAUUCCUGGUGUAGCGGUGAAAUGCGUAGAUAUCAGGAGGAACACCAGUGGCGAAGGCGGCUUACUGGACUGUAACUGACGUUGAGGCUCGAAAGCGUGGGGAGCAAACAGGAUUAGAUACCCUGGUAGUCCACGCUGUAAACGAUGA